Molecule: long non-coding RNA, 176 nt
Filed under: Felis catus (domestic cat)
Lineage: Eukaryota; Metazoa; Chordata; Mammalia; Carnivora; Felidae
Description: lncRNA (ENSFCAG00000044213.2)
Source: RNAcentral
GGUAUCUUGUCAACGUGAAGUGAUAACAUUCUAGUGGAGUAAAACAAGAAAAUAGAAGUCAAUACAGGAGGAAAUUCCCUGAAACGACUGCCCAAUGGUCAAGAAUAUGACAACAGUAUAACUGUGGCCAAAACAAAUAAUGGAAAAAUGUGAAAUAAAUUAAUCCUUAAUUCUCA